UGGUUGCCAUGUCUAACUAGACAUUUU
This 27-nucleotide non-coding RNA is filed under the name Mus musculus (house mouse). The record is from RNAcentral. Lineage: Eukaryota; Metazoa; Chordata; Mammalia; Rodentia; Muridae.